AGACUAACAGCCUCACCUGUUGUUCCUGUUGAUCAGACACACAGUGUCAACCAAUGAACCAAAGAUGCAUGAGGGAGGGAAGGACAGCUGUGAAAACAACAGCUGGAAAAUGAGUCGGAAGCACAGUAGCAUUUGGAUGCAUUUUAAUAAUGUAGACAAUGUUAGAGCACAGUGUAGAAUUUGCCAAAACAAAAUCUCAUAUAAAGUCGGUUCUACGCACAACCUACACCGGCAUAUGCGAACUGUGCACCCAACUGUGAAGCUAGCUGUAGCGGAGCUUCAAGAAACUUGCGGGCCUGCUAGUGAUAGUGGUGGAGCCAGCUCAAGUAGGCCUUCUCCGCGACCCACAGCAACGCAGUCUUCUAUGGACCAGUUUAUGCCAAAGUCUAUGUCUGUAGCAAAAGAAGGCCAAAUUGAUAUUGCAUUUGCUAAAAUGAUUGCCACCGAUUUCCAGCCAUUUUCGGUCGUGGAUGACAGAGGUUUUAGAAAUUAUAGCAAUAGUCUAAAUCCAAUGUACACAAUUACAAGCAGGAAAACCCUUUCAAAAUCACUUAUUCCACAACUGUAUGAGAGCACACAGGCUUCAGUGUGGGAAAGAGUCCAAAAAGCUACUGCAGUUUGACUUACCACUGACUGCUGGACAUCAAGGGUAACCACUUCUUACAUGUCGGUUACAUGUCACUUCAUUGAUGAUUUUCGAUGUCUAGCUGUCUUCUGGACUGCUUUGAGUUCAGCGACAGACACACUUCAGAGAACUUGGCAGAGGAACUGUUGAGAGCGGCCAGAGAAUGGCACGUAGAUGGAAAAGUGGUCUUUUGUGUUAGCGACAAUGCAGCUAACAUAACCAAAGCCAUAAAAAUGUUUAAAUGGACCCAUCAUCCAUGUCUUGCCCACACAAUCAACCUGAUUGUAAGAGAUGCUCUGAAGGUGAUGAUGCCCACUGUGGACAAAGUGAAAACAGCUGUGGAAUACUUCUACAGGAGCACAGUAGGUGCUGAAAAACUAAAGUCUACACAACACCAGAUGGGGGAUGCCUGAGCUGAGGCCUAAACAAGACUGCACUACAAGGUGGAAUUCAACAUUUUAUAUGUUAAACGGGUUCUGACCCAAGAGGAAUGGGAGGUGGUGGAGGAUGUGUGCAGAGUCCUGUAACACUUUGAGCAGGUCACUGUGGAGAUCAGUGGAGAGAGCUAUGUGACAGCCUCAAAAAUGAUACUCCUGUGUAAGGGUCUGCAGCGAAUCACAGCCAGCCGCCAGAGAGAAGCAAAUGUAACCACAGGACAUGUGACAGAGUUGAUAAACACCCUAUGUUCAUCGAUGGACAGAAAUUCCACAGAAUGGAAUAUAGUCACGUGCUAUCAGAAACCGUUGCACUUGACCCCAGGUUUAAGAAGUUAGCUUUCAGUGAUGCCAGAGCGAUUGAUGAGGCUCUUCAAAGAAUAACCUCAGCAGCAGGGAGGGACAGCCCCAGCAGUCAGCUGGCUCAGGCAACAGGAAGAAGAGGGAUCAGACGGAGCAGAAGCACCAGCAGUAGUGCCACAUACGUCUGCUGUUUGGAUGCUGUUUGAUGAGAGAGCAACUGGGGAUGCAGCACAAAGGAAUUCCUCAGCAGAUGCCAUAAUGGAGGUCUGAUCCUAUUUGGAGGAGCCCCUCCUCCAAAGAUCUGCAGAUCCUCUGAGCUGGUGGAAGAGCAAGGCCUCUGUCUACCCACAGCUUACUAAAGUCAUGACAGGGAGACUCUGCAUAGUGGCUACAUCCGUUACCUCUGAGAGGGUCUUCUCGAAAGCGGGACAAAUACUUACUGAGAGAAGAAACUGCAUCAGCCCCUCGAAAGUGAGGCAGCUGCAUUUCUGAAUGCAAAUCUCUCAUAAAAGCAAAAUAUGGUCAGCAUUGCUGUGUGCUGCUGGUUAUAACAUGGCAAUAAAGAAGAGAGAGAAAAGAGGGAC
RNAcentral lists this long non-coding RNA (1946 nucleotides) under Salmo salar (Atlantic salmon). RNAcentral describes it as "lncRNA (ENSSSAG00000117134.1)". Lineage: Eukaryota; Metazoa; Chordata; Actinopteri; Salmoniformes; Salmonidae. The record is from RNAcentral.